Molecule: long non-coding RNA, 540 nt
Organism: Melanaphis sacchari
Lineage: Eukaryota; Metazoa; Arthropoda; Insecta; Hemiptera; Aphididae
Exons: 3
Source: RefSeq, a predicted model, not a curated record
UUGUAUAAGAUAUCGAUACCCGACAGUCGAAAAUUAGUCUGAACGGCGUAAAAACAUGCUGUGUCCUAACGAAAAUCUGUUCUGCGUAUCCUCGUAAGAAAUUACAAAACCGUGUUUAAGUGGAACCGAUCUCGGUGGUAAAGUGUCACGUGGGAUGUGAGAAUCGCGGGGUAUUCUUUCGAUGGACAAUAUAUAGUGGGCAAGUAAAUACCAUUCGGUUCACUGUUGUACGGUAGUAAGUAGGUUUCAAGUGGAUCACUGCGAUAACUGAUGAGUACAAUUUAAGCUUGAAGUAUUCUAAACUUCAUUCCAUUUUACAAGAGAAAAUAUUGAAGAAAAGAGGACCUGACAAAAGAAGAAUAGCCAAUAGGUAUCAUGAUUUCAUAAUCUGAGGAUAUCUAUGAUUUAGAAAUAGCUCAUCAGAAUUGUUUUACGUUGUAACCAACAGACAGCAUUGCUAGAAUAGUUGUUAACAUUGAAGAAGCACCUGAAGAAAGUUUCAUGAUAUAAUUUUGGUAUCGUUAUAUUAAAAUAAUUUAU